This 1124-nucleotide long non-coding RNA is filed under the name Mus musculus (house mouse). RNAcentral describes it as "long non-coding RNA chr7:140897568-140898692". The record is from RNAcentral. Lineage: Eukaryota; Metazoa; Chordata; Mammalia; Rodentia; Muridae.
ACUGUGCUCCCAGCGUGUCUCAUGAAGCCCCCUGCACAGGUGGAGUUGCUGGUGAUGAAGGCACUCUCGGUGGGGCUGGUGAGAGGCAGCAUAGACGAGGUGGACAAGCGGGUUCACAUGACGUGGGUGCAGCCGCGAGUGCUGGAUUUGCAGCAGGUAAGGGGGCUGGGCCCCUGCCCUUUGCGGGUUUACCAAUGCUGUCCUAGUUUUAUGUGGACAGAAGCCAUUUAGGAAGCGGACGCUGUCGCACACAAGGUGGGAUUACUGCUGUGGAGGCCUAGCAAAGCAGCCCUCUGAGGUCUGCGCCCUGCACUUCCAGGCUGGCUGCGCUGCUGAUGCCUCCUAAUCCUGAAAUUGCUGCUCCAGCAGACGUGUUCCUGGUUUUGUGACUUGAUCCCAUGCCCUAUCAUGUUUCCCGGACAUUUAAUCCUGUGCUUUCCUCAUUCUUUUUUCUUUCAUGGGAGAUUUUAGAAUGUCCUCGUGAUCAGAUUUGGCACAGUGACUCCAUUACACACCUCCACCUUCAGCUCCAUUGCCCUUAGCUUUUCCCAGAAAAGAACUAGAGGCUCAGCCCUCCCAGACUCCCUUGCAGCUGAUACCCAUGUGAUCCCGAUUUGCCUUUAGAUCAAGGGGAUGAAGGACCGUCUGGAGCUUUGGUGCACUGAUGUGAAGAGCAUGGAGAUGCUGGUGGAACACCAGGCUCAGGACAUCCUCACCUAGUGCCCCGGUGUCCUGCAGACCCUGCCGCACCUUGCAAGGCAAUUCUGUGGCCCCCGAAACCAUCAGCAGAGAUCUGUAUUCACUUGGGAUGGAGUUUAGGAUCCUGCUCGGAGUGGGAACUGUUCUUGCUAUAAAAGCAGAGAACUGUCGCUGGUGGGGGGGUGACUACUUGGAGAAGGCUCCUGUGUGGGGUCUUUUGUAGCCUGCAAGGGGUGGGAAGGGGGGCUCCAGGCCUAGGUGAUGAGAAAGGGCACGAAUGGGAAUGGGGACAGGGUAGUCUCCACCCAGCUCCACCUGAGUGGACUUUGUCCAGUGUGGUCUGAGUGCUGCUCUAAUAAAUGCCUUGGCAUUGUUCUCUUGGUGCUUCUGUUCUUUGCCUUAGCUCCUUAGCCAAUCCUGUGUCU